AUGAACGCUGGCGGCGUGCCUCAUACAUGCAAGUCGAGCGAACGGACGAGAAGCUUGCUUCUCUGAUGUUAGCGGCGGACGGGUGAGUAACACGUGGAUAACCUACCUAUAAGACUGGGAUAACUUCGGGAAACCGGAGCUAAUACCGGAUAAUAUUUUGAACCGCAUGGUUCAAAAGUGAAAGACGGUCUUGCUGUCACUUAUAGAUGGAUCCGCGCUGCAUUAGCUAGUUGGUAAGGUAACGGCUUACCAAGGCAACGAUGCAUAGCCGACCUGAGAGGGUGAUCGGCCACACUGGAACUGAGACACGGUCCAGACUCCUACGGGAGGCAGCAGUAGGGAAUCUUCCGCAAUGGGCGAAAGCCUGACGGGGCAACGCCGCGUGAGUGAUGAAGGUCUUCGGAUCGUAAAACUCUGUUAUUAGGGAAGAACAUAUGUGUAAGUAACUGUGCACAUCUUGACGGUACCUAAUCAGAAGGCCACGGCUAACUACGUG
This 496-nucleotide ribosomal RNA is filed under the name uncultured bacterium. RNAcentral's name for it is "partial 16S ribosomal RNA". It matches the Rfam family "Bacterial small subunit ribosomal RNA", at positions 29 to 507 of the family's 1533-position model. The record is from RNAcentral.